This 439-nucleotide ribosomal RNA is filed under the name uncultured bacterium. RNAcentral's name for it is "partial 16S ribosomal RNA". It matches the Rfam family "Bacterial small subunit ribosomal RNA", at positions 339 to 795 of the family's 1533-position model. The record is from RNAcentral.
CUACGGGGUGCUGCAGUGAGGAAUACUGCACAAUGGGGGGAACCCUGAUGCAGCAACGCCGCGUGGAGGAUGACGCAUUUCGGUGUGUAAACUCCUUUUAUAUGUCAAGAAAAUGACGGUAGCAUAUGAAUAAGCACCGGCUAACUCCGUGCCAGCAGCCGCGGUAAUACGGAGGGUGCAAGCGUUACUCGGAAUCACUGGGCGUAAAGGACGCGUAGGCGGGUUGGAAAGUCAGGUGUGAAAUCCUACAGCUUAACUGUAGAACUGCACUUGAAACUUCUAAUCUAGAGUAUGGGAGGGGGAGAUGGAAUUAGCGGUGUAGGGGUAAAAUCCGUAGAUAUCACUAGGAAUACCUAAAGCGAAGGCGAUCUCCUGGAACAUUACUGACGCUAAGGCGUGAAAGCGUGGGGAGCAAACAGGAUUAGAUACCCGCGUAGUC